RNAcentral lists this unclassified non-coding RNA (562 nucleotides) under Hevea brasiliensis (rubber tree). Lineage: Eukaryota; Viridiplantae; Streptophyta; Magnoliopsida; Malpighiales; Euphorbiaceae. The record is from RNAcentral.
AAAGCAGUUACUCAAGUAAUAUUUAUAAUGGGCAUGAAAGGGGUUUCAUUGUAUUAUCUUCAUAGGAAAACAAGAUUUAAGCUUAAUCAAUUGGGAGCAAAAAUUCAAAAAUUCUGAGACAAAUCAAUAAGUAAUUCACAUUCUCUACUUCUGGAAGAAAAUUUCAAGUAACCUAUUGACAGGUUAGCUGCCUGAUCAAGAAUUAUAAGCACAAUCAUGUCUUGAAUAAAGAUAUUGCUGAAUGAUCUAACUAGAACCAUUUCUCUUUCUAAUUUGAAUUUAAUUUUAACCUAUUGUUGGGCAUGAGUUGAUUGAUUGUGCAAAUAAUCAGCUCCAUUGUGGACCCAGGAAAGGACCCUAUAUAAGACAUUGGUCCAUUUCAACAAUCAGUUCCACUCAUAGCCAUUGUAUUAUCUCCUUUCCUAAUACUUUAGCGGCAACUUUCAAAUCUUGGGUGUCAGACAGAACGUAAUUAGAACAUGACUUUAGAAAAAAAAUUAACAGUAGCUUGCCACUCCUUUUUAGACUAACCACUUCUAUUAGCUGGCAAACACAAAGAUCG